AAGGAAUUGACGGGACCCGCACAAGCAGCGGAGCGUGUGGUUUAAUUCGUUGCUACACGAAGAACCUUACCUGGGUUUGACAUAUAGGGUUUGUAGGGGAACCUGAAAAGGGACGACCCUUCGGGGAGCCUAUACAGGUGUUGCAUGGCUGUCGUCAGCUCGUGUCGUGAGAUGUUCGGUUAAGUCCGCUAACGAGCGCAACCCUCGUCGUAUGUUAUAUGUGUCAUACGAGACUGCCGGUAAAAGCCGGAGGAAGGUGAGGAUGAUGUCAAGUCAGCAUGACCUUUAUAUCCAGGGCUACACACACGCUACAAUGGUCUGUACAAUGGGUAGCCAAGCCGCGAGGCGGAGCCAAUCCUGAAAGCAGGCCUCAGUUCAGAUUGCAGUCUGCAACUCGACUGCAUGAAGCCGGAGUUGCUAGUAACCGCAGGUCAGCAAUACUGCGGUGAAUACGUUCCCGGGUCUU
Molecule: ribosomal RNA, 466 nt
Filed under: uncultured Anaerolineaceae bacterium
Lineage: Bacteria; Bacillati; Chloroflexota; Anaerolineae; Anaerolineales; Anaerolineaceae
Description: bacterial SSU rRNA
Rfam family: Bacterial small subunit ribosomal RNA
Source: RNAcentral